GAAACAAGGCUCUCGAUCCAUCCACCUUCGUCCCUCAAGUGGUAGGAAACUUUCCGACGCCUCCCGCGGCUCUGCCAGGAGAGAAGAGACAAGCUCCCCCUCCCAACCCCUUAGUAAUGACUGAGUCUAGCGAAGCUAGCCAGCCGGGAGGCAAACUCCCCCUGCCGCCCCGAGGCCUCCUCCAGCCGCUGAGACUGGAAAGCGGACUUGCGACGCCACGCCGGCCGUCGUUGGUGACAAGUGUGACAACACCGUCCCGGUCCUACGGGGAAGGCAUUCUCUUCCUCUUCCUCCAGCUGCCUGAAAAUCAUAUGCGUGGUUUUUCCUGUUUCCUGCUCUGUAGCUGACAUCAGGGGAGCAACGUGAACACAGGAAAAUGGAAAUCAACAUUUGAAACUUUUAAAUGGAAGCUUUAUUGGGGUUCCACAUAUGGAAAACUGCAAAUAGCAGAAGUAUGUGACUCAAUAAAUUAUUCUGGAGUGACCACAUCCUCUAACUGCCUCCCAGGACAAGACGGAGAAUGUGAACAAUGCUCCUGAAGGCCCCUUUCCCUCAAAGAAUCACUGCAAUUGAAGGAAAAAUGCUCCAUGUCCCCUCUGCCAGUUGGUGUUUAUCAAAGGACAACGGAGGAAGAGAGACAAAGUGCCUGGAUGUGUGUGUUAAUCAAGAGUUGUCAGGACCCUGCCUCUAAAAGAAAGCGCUAAAAUGAUGCUUUUGACAAGACUUUUCUCAAAGUGGAUGCAGUCUAAGGGUUGGAAAACAAGGCCCAAUCAGGC
This 776-nucleotide long non-coding RNA is filed under the name Homo sapiens (human). RNAcentral's name for it is "HSALNT0304658". Lineage: Eukaryota; Metazoa; Chordata; Mammalia; Primates; Hominidae. The record is from RNAcentral.